This 606-nucleotide ribosomal RNA is filed under the name uncultured bacterium. RNAcentral's name for it is "bacterial SSU rRNA". It matches the Rfam family "Bacterial small subunit ribosomal RNA", at positions 266 to 862 of the family's 1533-position model. The record is from RNAcentral.
CACCUAGGCAAUGAUAGGUAGGCGGCCUUAACGGGUGGUCGCCCACACUGGGAUUGAGAUACGGCCCAGACUCCUACGGGAGGCAGCAGUCGAGAAUAGUCUACAAUGGUCGGAAGACUGAUAGUGCGACGCCGCGUGAACGAUGAAUCCCUUCGGGGUGUAAAGUUCUUUUAUAUGUGAGCAGUGCUUCUUAUAUUAACAGUAUGGGGAGAGAGAUAUUAGCAUAUGAAUAAGCAACGGCUAACUCCGUGCCAGCAGCCGCGGUAACACGGGGGUUGCGAGCGUUGUCCGGAAUUACUAGGCGUAAAGGGCAGGCAGGCGGAUCCAUAAGUUUAUCGUUUAAGGCGUCGGCUUAACCGGCGUAGGGCGGUAGAUACUGUGGAUCUGGAAUGCGGUUGGGGAAGACAGAAUUCCUGGUGUAGCGGUGGAAUGCGCAGAGAUCAGGAGGAAUACCGAAGGCGAAGGCAGUCUUCCAAGCCGUUAUUGACGCUCAACUGCGAAGGUGUGGGUAUCAAACAGGAUUAGAUACCCUGGUAGUCCACACAGUAAACGAUAAUCACUGGGUGUCGGGUUCGCAUAGGAUUCGGUGCCGUAGCUAACGCGUUA